This is a small nucleolar RNA of Balaenoptera musculus (blue whale), 92 nucleotides long. Its record names the gene SNORD116. It matches the Rfam family "Small nucleolar RNA SNORD116". From Rfam's summary of the family: HBII-85 is a member of the C/D class of snoRNAs, which contain the C (UGAUGA) and D (CUGA) box motifs. HBII-85 is encoded in a tandemly repeated array with another C/D snoRNA, HBII-52, in the Prader-Willi syndrome (PWS) region of chromosome 15. The record is from Ensembl. NCBI's taxonomy places the organism in Eukaryota, Metazoa, Chordata, Mammalia, Artiodactyla, Balaenopteridae.
GGAUCGAUGAUGACUCCCACAGAUGCAUUCCUUGGAAAUCUGAACAAAAUGAGUGAGCAAUCCCUACCAUCUCCUAAUUGGAACUGAGGUCC